Molecule: ribosomal RNA, 497 nt
Filed under: uncultured bacterium
Lineage: Bacteria
Description: bacterial SSU rRNA
Rfam family: Bacterial small subunit ribosomal RNA
Source: RNAcentral
GAUGAACGCUGGCGGCGUGCCUAAUACAUGCAAGUCGAGCGGUAAGGCUUUCACAGAUUAUUUAACCAGAUAAGCUCUUCGGAAAACUGUUUGCAGCGAUGAUUCCCCGGCUAGGGAAUCAGAGUUGAAUAAUGCGUGAAAGUACACGAGCGGCGGACGGCUGAGUAACACGUAGGAACGUACCCCAAAGUGAGGGAUAAGCACCGGAAACGGUGUCUAAUACCGCAUGUGAUCUUCGGAUUAAAGCUUCGGCGCUUUGGGAACGGCCCGCGCAUGAUUAGCUUGUUGGUGAGGUAAAAGCUCACCAAGGCGACGAUCAUUAGCUGGUCUGAGAGGAUGAUCAGCCAGACUGGGACUGAGAACGGCCCAGACUCCUACGGGAGGCAGCAGUAGGGAAUUUUCCACAAUGGACGAAAGUACUGAUGGAGCAACGCCGCGUGCAGGAUGAAGGGUUUCGGCUCGUAAACUGCUUUAUCUGUGAAGAUUAUGACGGUAGC